UAAGAACCUUCCAUUCUUCCUUUAGCCUAUCCAAUUUCUCAACACUCAUUCCCUCUUCAACGGCACUAUCCAAUGUCUCAGCACUCGUUCCCCCUUCAGUGGCAGCGCCAGGCCCAUGGAGGUGGCUAAGGCCAUUUACUGCCUCCACAAAGGACCGUGUGACCUUGUCAGCAGUAAAUGAGUGCAUCCCAGUUUCAUCACCGAUUGAGUUCAGCGACUUCCCCAAUUUAAGCCUUCUCAUAGCUAUGGCCACUUUAGCAUCCACGGUUAAUUCCCUGUUAUCGUUAAAUUUGUAUUUCGGUGAAUUGCCCAGAGGCUCCUUCACAAGAGUGCAUAAGUCUCUGAAGGUUCUCAUCGAGAUCCCACAGAAUGUUUCAACUCUGUUCGAGUAUUCCCGUGGAGUAAACUGUCCUGCAAAGAAGAGAAGAUAAUGCAUUUACAUAUGUCAAUUUAACCUGAUGAAACAAUCACUCAUGAGACCGGAAACAUACUUGGUUCAGCCUGUUUGAACUACUACACAAAAUGAGAAGAAAAUUUAUUUCAUCACAUUAUAUUCUGUACAGCGGAACAGUCAUAAAAUUUUGAACUCGCAACCCAGUAUAAUAAGAGGAUAUUUGUAUAAGAAUAUGGAAAAAAGAUUGUGGACAAUCAAGACAACAUUAACAACUAUCACACACAUAUGCUAAAAUACUCAUGCGCACAUGCUAUCUUUAACUUGAUUCUUGGGUUAACACCAAAAUAGGAUUAAGUGGAAAGUACAGCCUUAAGAAUUAUUAGAUUCGAAAGAUGCAAGGACACUAAAUUAGAAGAAGAAUACCAGCAAACCUGAAAUAGAGGUCAGAAAUUCCGAAGUAACAUUUAAAAAUACUUAGAAAUUGUGAAGUUUAACAGCGAACACACACAAAACAAGCGGUUCAAUUCCACUGAUAGCUUAAAGUGUCUAGACUUAGCAACGAGAGGGAAGAAUGUGAGAGUCUUAGGUUUGCAAGACAUCUAUGUCCUUUUUUAACAAAAAGCUUCUGGCUAGUCAGAGAAAGUUUGUUUUCCUUUAAAAAAUUCACCUCCAUAAGUCAAUAAAACUACAUUGUAUCUUGAGUUCUUGACAGAAACGUCAUGUAAUUAUCGAAAAUUAUGAUUUAUUGCAUUUGACCUACCGGUUGGUUCACAGCCUGCUUCUUUUGGUGGGACUAGAUUUAUUGCAUUUGACCUGCCAGUAUCCUGUUUCUGGUGCACUAAGCUACUCCUUAACUUCUUAGGAAAGCUCUUUAUAGGAUUUCCCUGGGCAGGCUUCUCCUCUUCAUCUAUACUUGAACCAUGACCAUUGUUCUUUGGAACAAGGUUGGAAUCUAAGGAUAAAAGAAUAUUUGAUCAGUAAAGAAAAUACAAUCCAAACUUUAACAAGAAAUAAAAUGGUCAACUCUGUAAGUUGAAAUAAUAUCUGAAAUACAUAUAGAGGAUACUUGCAGAGUCAGAAUAGAAAUUUUUUACUGAGAUAACCAUAAUGAGAAUAAAACAUAAUCCUAGAUAAAUAAUCUUUUACGAAACCAGUGCACAGUCAAAUUUUACAAUACCAGUGCACAGUCAAAUAUGAAAUACAGAUGCAACAAAUAUACAUAUAAUUCCUGAAAUUGUAGUCCAGUGGAUCCCCGGACCCAUAACCCUUAGUAAAAAGAUAAGGAUUCGACACCCUGUGGAUAUAACUGUUUGAGCAAGUACUUAAAUUUCUUGUGAUUGACCUUACCCCAAAGAAAGAAAUAAACAUUUAUAUAUAACUAGAAAAUUCAAGACUUAAAAACAAUUAUUCUGUCUCAAUAAUACUUCUCAUAGAUGAAAUACAUGGAUACUACCAUUAUUAUAUUGUGAAUCCCCUAGAUAUGUCAAUUUGAACUAAUUAAACAAUCACUCAUGAGACUGGAAACAUACUUGGUUCUGCCCGUUUGAACUACUACACGAAAUGCGAAGAAAAUUUAUUUCAUCACAUUGAUUUCUGUACAAUGGAACAGUCAUAAAAUUUUAAACUCAAACCCGGUAUAAUAAGAGGAUAUUUGUAUAAGAAUAUGGAAAACAGAUCGUGGACUAUCAAGACAACUUUUAACAACUAUUACACACAUAUGCUAAUACUCAUGCGCACAUGCUAUAUUCAACUUGAUUCUUGGGUUAACACCAAAAUAGGAUUAAGUGGAAAGUACAGCCUUAAGAAUUAUUAGAUUCGAAAGAUGCAAGGAUACUAAAUUAGAAGCAGAAUACCAGCACCUGAAAUAGAGGUCAGAAAUUCCGAAGUAACAUUUACAAAUACUUAGAAAUCGUCAAGUUUAACAGCGAACACACACUAAACAAGCGGUUCAAUUCCACUGAUAGCUUAAAGUGUCUAGACUUAGCAUCGAGAGGGAAGAAUGUGUGAGUCUACGUCCUUUUUUUAUCUAAAAGCUUCUGGAUAGUCAGAGAAAAGUUUGUUUUCUUUUAAAAAAUACAUCUCCAUAAGUCAAUAAAACUACAUUUUAUCUUGAGUUCUUGACAGAAACGUCAUGUAAUUAUCGAAAAUUAAGAUUUAUUGCAUUUGACCUACCGGUUGGUUCACUUGCUGCUGCUUCGUUUGGCGGGACUAGAUUUAUUGCAUUUGACCUGCCAUUAUCCUGUUUCUGGUGCACUAAGCUACUCCUUAACUUCUUAGGAAAGCUCUUUAUAGAAUUUCCCUGGGCAGGCUUCUCCUCUUCAUCUAUACUUGAACCAUGACGUUUGUACCUUGGAACAAGGUCGGAAUCUAAGGAUCAAAGAAUAUUUUGAUUAGUAAAGAAAAUACACUCCCAACUUUAAUAAGAAAUAAAAUGGUCAACUCUUUAAGUUGAAAUAAUAUCUGAAAUACAUAUAGAGGAUACUUGCAGAGUCAGAAUAGAAAUUUUUUUCUGGGAUAACCAUAAAUGAGAAUAAAACAUAAUCCUAGAUAAAUAAUCUUUUACGAAACCAGUGCACAGUCAAAUUUUAAAAUCUUAGGUUCCUUAUUGUCUUACAUCAAUAAGCACCAAAUACUAUACAUGAAAUACAGAUGCAACAAAUAUACAUAUAGUUCCUGAAAUUGUAGUCCAGUGGAUACCCGAACCCAUAACCCUUAGUAACAAGAUAAGGAUUCGACACCCUGUGGAUACAACUGUUUGAGCAAGUACUUAAAUUUCUUGUGAUUGACCUUACCCCAAAGAAAGAAAUAAACAUUUAUAUAUAACUAGGAAAUUCAAGACUUAAAAACAAUUAUUCUGUCUCAAUAAUACUACUUAUAGAUGAAAUACAUGGAUACUACCAUUAUUAUAUUGUGAAUCCCCUAGAUAUGUCAAUUUGAACUAAUUAAACAAUCACUCAUGAGACCGGAAACAUACUUGGUUCUGCCCGUUUGAACUACUACACGAAAUGUGAGGAAAAUUUAUUUCAUCACAUUGAUUUCUGUACAAUGGAACAGUCAUAAAAUUUUAAACUCAAAACCCAGUAUAAUAAGAGGAUAUUUGUAUAAGAAUAUGGAAAACAGAUUGUGGACUAUCAAGACAACUUUUAACAACUAUUACACACAUAUGCUAAUACUCAUGCGCACAUGCUAUAUUUAACUUGAUUCUUGGGUUAACACCAAAAUAGGAUUAAGUGGAAAGUACAGCCUUAAGAAUUAUUAGAUUCGAAAGAUGCAAGGAUACUAAAUUAGAAGCAGAAUACCAGCAAACCUGAAAUAGAGGUCAGAAAUUCUGAAAUAACAUUUACAAAUACUUAGAUAAUGUCAAGUUUAAGAGAGAAUACACACUAAACAAGUGGUUCAAUUCCACUGAUAGCUUAAAGUGUCUAGACUUAGCAACGAGAGGGAAGAAUGUGAUAUUCUUAAGUAUGCAAGACAUCUAUGUCCUUUUUUAUCUAAAAGCUUCUGGCUAGUCAGAGAAAAGUUUGUUUUCUUUUCAAAAUACAUCUCAAUAAGUCAAUAAAACUACAUUGUAUUCUUGAGUUUUGGACAAAAACUUCAUGUAAUUAUCAAAGAUGCAAUUCCUUCACUCUCCUAUGCUGUAAAUCCAUCACUUAAGCGAACUUAUUAAAGAGAAAAUUUUUGAAUACUAAAAGUUAAGAAUUUGCACCUGAGCUUAAGAAAAAUGUUAUCCACAGAUGCAUGCAUUUAGAUUUUCUUAUUUCUUUAACCUCUAAUAUAGAUGAUAAGACGACGCCUGAAAAAUUGAUUGUCAAAUGCUUAUCAUGAAUGACACUGGACGACUUUCUUAAUUCAAAACACAAAGUUUCUCCUUGCAUUCAACACAGAGUAGUACAAUUCCAAAUCAAACAAAUACUCCUUACAUGUUACAGAAGUGAUAUGUACCUGAUAUAGCAGGCGGCGAGUCAACAUUUCUCACCAAUGAUAUGAGCCACUGCACUACAUCGUCCCGGUUUCUCCACUGUGUAUAUGCAUUAAUGGUUGCAUUCGACCCAAAAGCCUCAAGAUACUCCUUCGCAACUACAUACAUCAUCCGACCUUCUCUGUUCUCAUUACCAACAGCAGCAAGCAGUGAAAUUCCUGAAUACGAUCUCAAGUGAUAUUCGACAUUGACCUCAGAAAUAGUUCUCUCUUCCCAGGCAUUGUAGUUAUGUUUUUUCCCACCCAUCCUAAUGACAGACACACACUCAGACAAUAAGAAUCAAAGUGUAACAAUAUAAAUAGUUAAUUACUCAAACACAUAACCACCAGCAAACCGCCCUCCCCCCCCCUCCCCCCCCCCCCCNAAUUACCCAAAUCAAUUAGAGGUAAAAUUCAGCAUGACAACCGAAAGGCUCUUCUUUCUUGUAAACACCCCAACCCACCCCACACACACACACACACUUACUUUUCAAUCCCAACAAUAACACAAAAUGAAUAAAAGAACUGACAAACUUGGAAAUAAUUAUCUGAUUAAUAUCCAUCUCGAAAGGAAUACAAACAAAUCUAUUAGUAGCAGUUGUGCACAAGGUUGAAUGACCCCCGAAGGACCUCGACAAGGUGUAGGAAAAACAGAAAACUCAACCAGAGAUGUGUUACAUAUAUACAAUAUAGAGUCAGCCAGUCAGGGAAAACAUAUAAAAAAAUCAUUAAACAGAUAACUGCUUUAUAAGAUAAUGCAGGGUAAAAGUUAUUAAAAUAUAAAUGAAAAAAUUGGGAAUAGCACCUACCUUGAGUGGCAACGAGUACAAGUUUAUGCAAACUAUGGCACAGCGUGAGGCACUAAGAAGAAGAUUUUUUUGUUUCAAAUUAAAAAAAUGGCUUUCACCUAUACAAGACUAACAUAACAACCAGAAGAUAUAAACACUGUGGAAAAAUUCAAUUUUGAUUGCGAUAGAGCCAUUGAAUGCUGCUGAGGUGAUAUCUUUGGACAAUACUGUACUGACAAAUCUUAAAAGUAACAUUAAAGAGUAACGUACAAUCGAGAUAGGUAAAGAGGAAGAGAAAGUCAAGGACUCAGAGAUUGGAAUAUGCUUACAUCUUCUGCAGAGAUGGCAAUUUGACAACAUCUCGUAAAUGUAAAACCGAAAAAAAAAAACACUGUUGAUAUAUGUGCAUAAAGAAUAAACAUACAGAAAACCAGAUGCACACACAUAAACCAAGUAAAAUGGUCAGCAGCAAAAAACUAUUAAUUACAUCGCUGCAUAUUACCUCGAGCUAAAUUUCCUUUGCUUCUCUGAAAGAACAAUUUUUUAGCUAAUGUUCUUCUGCUUCUCUGAGAACAAUUUUGAAAGAUAACAUAACACUUAUACCCCGAAAACACAAUUAGGCAUACAUUUUCAAUUUGGGAUAAUUGAAUCUAGACGUUCUUUUUGUUUCUUUUGCCAAGUAGAUAUAGAUAUUUUUUAAUUACGCGAGGAUAAUUUGAAUCUUGCGGAUUUUGUUGAUUUCAAUUGGAACUUCAAGUUCGAUAUGAAUAUCCAGCUAUUAUUUCCAUAGAACAAAAUCAGUGUAAAGGUUUAAUGUUUUUCUGAAGUAAUCAAAUUAUACAAAAGUAUAUAUGUUGUAAAGGACAAGAUAUUAAUAUUGUAUAUUAUUAAGAAAUUGUAUUUAAGCGAUAAAAAUCAAUGGGCUACCUUUAUCACAAUAAUAACUAUAUCUCAGAGUCCCAACCCCCAAUAUUAUCAUUUUUAUAAUGGAGACAAAUUAUUGUCCCGAGAUGUGCUCAUGACCCACUGUCCACCUAGAAACAGGCUUUCGAAUGAGGUGAAUUGAUAGAGUAUAAUUUCGAGUAAGCGGUCCUAAAAAGAGAUUAUUAUUACAUAGAGUUUGGACCAUAAACUUGUAUUAUAAUAAGGAGUUUAUUCUUAUAUAGAGUAAUACUAUACAAAGGUUCCAUUGUAUAUGAUCCACAUAAGCCCACCUCCUACCACACUAAGAUUUUAGGAUUGUUGAUUGCUUAACAUGGCAUCAAAUUUCGGUCAAGAAAGUGGUCUCGGGUUCGACUCUUCUCGCCUAAUUUGUAUGAUUUAAUGUGUUGAUAAAAAAAAGUAGUUGAAGCUUAGUUAAUAACAUAUUACCUAUUUCAUUUAAUUCCAACAAAUAAUUUAUAUGCCUCAAGAUUUUUUUUACCAAUGUGGUUAUUUCCAUACAUAAGAGAUUUUUGUAAUAAGAAUAAGAUGCCAAAAUUUUACUAAAAAUACCGCUUUCUCCAAAAAAGAAUGGCAUAAUAAAAAAUAUUGAGUAUGUGUGUGCGUGCGCAAAUGAAACUUAGAUACACUCUGAUCACGUGGUCAAUUUUUCUUAAUAUCAUUUGAUGUCUACCUUAAUCAUAAUUGUUUUGUAUUUCUUUACAUUUCUCCUCACAUGCCUGAAAUAGGUUUUGUCUCUUGAAAAUGUAACAUAAAACAAAUUUUACAGGAAUAUUAAUUGAUUCUUAUUUAUAUACAAGUGUAAAUUGUUAUUAGUUAUUAGCUUAAUAAUUGCAGUUAAUGAUUAUUUGUUAUUAGUUAAUAAUCACAUAGCAAAAUAAAUUUAAAACAUGAAAUAUAAAAAGAAUAGCUCAGUUUAGUCUAUUAAAAAAAUAAAAUUUUAACCUAAACAAUACAGUGUGGUACUCCAUGUUGAUAAGCCCGGCUCAAACUAUGUUGAGGCCCUGUCCAUAUAUCAUAAAGUGAUGCCCCAGGAUAUAUUCAACUAUAAUAUGUUUUUUUUUAAAAUUACACAUUCUAAGUGUAUAUAACAGGGUGUAAUAUUUUAAUAAUACAUAAACAAUUUUUUCUAUAUAAUUCUAAACUCAUAGAAUUAAAAAACUUCAUCUUUCAAAAUUUAAUAUAGUUAAAAAAAAACACUAGAAAUGUAUUCUAGAGAUACAUAAUUCAAGAUCAAGAUUUAUUUUUAAUCUUCUAUUUGAUGUUAAGUUUUGUUAUAAUGAUUAUUAUUCAAUUAUUGUGAUUUUGUGUUUGUGAUUAUCAUUAUUAUACUAUAAAAGUUGAAAAUUACAUGUAUUAUGUUUAAAAGUUAAUGAACAAUCAUUGUUGAUGGAAAAUAAUGAAAAAUAACAUCAACAAUACUUAAACUUAUGAUAACAGAGCAAAAUAAUCACAGAGCAAAAUAAAUUUAAAACCAUCUAAAAAUAAAAUUUUAACCUAGAUCAACUCUAUAUACAGUUAUUACCAGUUAAGAUAUGGAUACAUUAGAUAUAGAAUAUUACUACUUAAAGUUAUCAAGAAAAGAAACAUUACUUGCACAAGUUUUGAUCUUUAUAACUUUUUCUUAUCAAGGUUAAAUAAUGAAUACAUUGUAUAGAAUUAGAAGUUUCGAUCUUGUAUACUUUAUCUUGAAGUCUACUUUUAUAUGAGCUCAACCAUAUAUUCUAAAUGGAAAUAAUUAGAAGAUCCAUACUUUAUCAAUCCUUUCCAAAUCCAUUAGUCUUUAGAGUCUAUUCAUUACUUUACGUCUUCAACUCAACUCAGUACUUCAUUAUUAGUAUAGAAGUCCUUGCUAUUUAAACGCGUUAGGCCCAGAGUAUUAAUCCUAUUAUUUGACCCAACAUAUGUACUAUAGACGAUGGAAAAAAUCCAGUUAGGCUAUAACUAUAAAGUAUAAAUUGUGGUAUCUAUUUUUUUAAUCAAAAUUAGAAAGAGCGUGCAUAAUAUAUGUAAUAUAGUCAUCCUACAAAAAAUAAUGAAAUAAACCAAUUAUGUUAUGCAGAAGGUGUGAAACAAAAACAAAAUUUACAGUAAUUAUUUUAGUACAUCGAAAUGACGCUGAAGAUGUGAAACACAAAUAAAAUUAACGGUAAUUAUUUUAGUACAUCUAAAUGACGUACCGUCCAAGGCCAGCAGUUCCCACUGAGUAUAGGAGUCUGAAUAACCUGCACAGUGUUAACCUCCAUUUCAUGAAACCCAACAUUACUACUAAUCAUUAGAUACAAUAAGACCUGUAACUGCAUUUGUAAUUGGUAGACAAUUUCCCCUUUUUUGGAGCAUCACCAGUAAUCCUUACAUGAGCAUGUCCCUGCAACAAAAUGAUGAAACCGAUUCCGGUCCCUAAUGAUGAUCUUCCUAUUAUAAACUAUGGAGAUUAUUUUUAUGGCUGAAUGGCAGUCAUCACAAACACGGAGAUUCUUAACAAUUCGAAUUGAGACUCCUGGAGCUGUAUUAAGAAUACCAAAAGCUAUUGCAAGCUUUUCGCUGUGACGAACAAGCAAUGUCUCUUUCUCUUUAUCAUUAAUAUCUUGCAGAACAGAGGUUGUUAAAGGUACAUAGCCUGCUUCUUUCAAUCUAUUCAUAAUCUCAGAUAACAUCUUAUAGAUUUCAACAGAUUGCAAGUGUGAUUCAUCACCAGAAAUAAAUUCAUGGACUUCGUUCCCAAUUUCAAUUGAACUGCUCCCUGGGAUCCUCUGGAUUUUGUUGUUUUUCAUAAUCCUUCUCACAUUGACAACCUUGUCCCACUGUUUGGCUUGAGAAUAUAUAUUUGACAACAGAACAUAAUUCCUGUCAACAUUGGGUUCUAGUGCUACAAGUUUUAUUAUAGCUUCUUCUGCCAGUUCUACAUUCCUAUAAAUUUUACACGCUCCAAGAAGGGCUCUCAAAAUUACUGCAUCCGGUUCGAAAGGCAUGCUUCUAAUAAGUUCUCUAGCUUCCUGAAGUCUCCCUGAUCGGCCCAGAAUGUCAACCAUGUUUCCAUAGUGUUCAAUUUUGGGAGGAAUACAAUAGAUAUCACUCAUAGCAUUAAAAUAUGUCCACCCCUUGUCAAAUAAGCCAAUGUGACUACAUGCUGUCAGCACACCUAUGAAGGUGAUAUCAUUGGGUUUAGUUCCUUCAGAUAUCAUUUUAGAAAAAAGAUCAAGUGCAGCCUCACCGUACCCAUGGUUAGCAAGCCCCAUUAUCAUUGCACUCCAGGCAAAAACAUCCUUCUUACUCAUCUGCUUAAAACAACCCACUGCAUUGUCUAUAUCCCCACACUUUGCAUACAUGUCAACAAGAGAUGUACCGAGCCUUAUACCUAUUUCGAUACAACUUCUUUUAAUGUACUCAUGGAUCAUCUUUCCCAUACCUAAAGCACCUAUAUCUCCACAUGCACACAACACACUAACCAUUGUGAUCUGAUCAGGCACUACAUUCGAUAACUGCAUUUCAUGAAAAAGUUUCAAAGCAUUACUAGAGCACCUGGAUUUUGCGCAGGUUGGGAACAUGGAGCUCCAAGAAACAAAAUCCUUUCUAGCACUUGUAUCAAACAAAUCUUGGGCAGAUUCAAUAUCACCAAUCGAAGCAUAGCCAUGAAUCAUAGUAUUCCAAGAAACUAAGUCUCUAUCAGAAAUCUUAUCAAAAAACUCUUCAGCCAAUCCCAUCUCCCUAACUCUAACAUAUUCUCCCAACAUAACAUUACAAGAAAUACAAUCCGGAUCCUUAAUUUCAUCAAACACUUUCCUCGAAACAUCCACCAAACCAAAUCUCCCAUACAUUUCAAUCAACGCCGUCUGAACAAACAAAUCAGACCCAAAACCAUGUUUCAAACAAUAAGCAUGUAAAGAUUCCCCAUUCUCACUAUCAACCAAUCUCCCACACGACUGAAGAACCACCGAUAAGCUAAAACUAUCAAUACAAAUCCCAUCAAAACGACACAUUCGCAUAAAAAGUGACAGACUCUCUUCAGGGUUGUUUGAUUUUAGGUAACCUCUAAUCAUAGUAUUAAACAUGAAAGUAUCUGGUUGAGGAAUUGUGUCAAACAGAUUGCGGGCAUACGAGAUAUCAUCAGCGAUCGGUGUCAAUAUCUUACCUAAUAGCUUGGUUAGGACAACAACGUUGAUGUCUAAAGCGGUUUUGAGAAUUAAAGCAUGGAUUUGGAGAAGAUGGUUGAGGUUAGUUGAGUGUUGUAUAAGGGACAUUACAUUGUGUUUGAUGGUUUUAUAGGUUGGUCUCAUGUUUGAAUGUAACUGUAUUAACUACUUUUCGCGGUAUACUUACACUUGUACGUACCACCAUGAGCUGGACAGUUCUAAAAAUCGUCCAUUUGAUCAAUUAAUCACCCGAUUUAUUUACAAGAUAUUUUUAUUGAUUCAGUCUUUUAAAUAUGAUUAAAAAUAAUAUAUAUUUGUAGAACUAGUAUAAUUGGUAAAAUAAAUAUUAUGUCUUUUUGUAAUUGAACAUUUUUUGAAAAAAAAUGUUUCAUAAACAGUAACAUAUAAUUGUUAGAUUAACACUUGAUAAAAGCUAUUGAAUCAGUUCAAUAAUUUUGAUAACAAGUUAUUAAAUGAGACCAGAUUAAUAAUUUUAAUGAUGUGUAAGAUCUCAGUAUGAUUUUAUGGUAAUACUAUAUGGGGUUUUAAAUCAAAUAUAUGAACUGACUCUAACAAUUCCUAAUGGUCACCUACACAAUUACACCCUAAAAUUAAGGCUGAAACACACAAUAGCCAUUCAAGUUUACACCAAUAUGCAUGUCAACCCUCAAAGUUCAAAAAUGUUCGGUCCAGCCACCAAAGUUACAAGAAUGUAACUACUAGCCACAUGAGACAGAGAGUGCAUGGCACACUCCCUGCCUGAGACUUGAGAGUACACUGACAUAUACUCCCACACUAUGCAUGUCCUUUUACUCCUCCAUCUCAGUUAUUAUUUCAGUUCUAUUAGUUAAAAUUAUGUUAGUCCGAGUUUGAGAAAAUACAUUUUUUCGCCAACCAACUCAUUGUUUGUUUAGAAAUUUGCCACCGAACUAUAAUUUUUUUCCUUUUUGUCACUAAUGUUAGGUUCGGAUUUUUUGAACUAUAAUUUUUUUCCUUUUUGUCACUAAUGUUAGGUUCGGAUUUUUUUUAGUCACUAAGCCUAGGCUCAGAUUUGAUUACUAACAUUAUGUUAAUUUUUUAGUAUUAUUAAACUAUAGUGAUAGUCUGCAAUAUAUUAUGAAGAUCUGAUAUAUGUCUAUAUCUUUGUAUGUAGCACUUACGCAUGUCCCCUAGAUAGUUCACCUUGUAGGACGAGAGUUUGACAUAUAUUUUAAGGCUCCUACAAAAUUUAGUUUCAUGAAUUAUUUUAAUUUUUUUUCUAAGUAAAAGUUAUGAUUGUCUAUUGUUUAUAUUAUAUAUAGUUUCAUAAAAAUCAAGGUUAGAUAUCAUCUACAAUUAUUUAUACCAUUGUACAAAAAUAAGGACGAAUAUCAUAAAAAAAGUAAACGAUAUACAAUUAAUCUUUAUUUUACCCCUCAUUUAUGUUAUUAUUAGAGCAACCCCAAUGCAAGUUCUCCUUACUCAUAUUUGGUCUAGGUGGACAAGAUUUAGGGGUUAGGAUCAAAAAUCAAUCCUCCAACGCAGCUUCCCAUCCCAUAAAAAUUUUAGGGGAGAGAAAACUCAUCCCCUUAUUUGAGAGAGCAAAAAGCCAACCCCUUGUUAAAAUAAUUUAUGAAACUUAAUCGUUUAGGAGCCUUAAAAUAUGUGUCAAAUUUUCGUCCUCCAAGGUAAACUAGCAGGGGCACAUAUGGAGUACUACAUAUAAAGAUAUAAACACAUAUCAGAUCACCGUAAUAUUGCGGACUACCAUUAUGUUUCAAUAAUGCUAAAAAGAAUAAUAUAAUGUUAAUAAUCAAAUCCGAACCUAACGUUAUUGACAAAAAAAAAUCCGAACCUAACAUUAGUGACAAAAAGGAAAAAAAUUAUAGUUCAGUGACAAAUUUCUUAACAAACAAUAAGUUGGGUGGCGAAAAAAUCUACCGUCCGAGGUUUCUAACCUGCUUUGAUUAGCAGUGUCCGUGUAUGACUAGAAGAUGGCCGGGGCAGCUGUGUUUCUCAGUCGAUUAUUCUUAUUAAUAUAUUAAUAUAUUAUUAUUAAUAAAGUUACAUAUCAUUCGAAUUUGUGUGUAGAUAUUUAGUUUUUAUUUUGCAAAAUCGAGCAGCAUAUAUCUUCAGUACAUUAAAAUAAAAAGCAUCAAGUUUGGUCCUAAGAUAAUAUCGUAACAUUCUAUUUAUAAGUUAUUUUUUUAAUUAAAGUUAAUCAUUAUUAUAAUUUAUAAUAAACCAAAAAUAUAUUUAAUUUAACACACUCGAUGAUUUUAUUUUAAAUAAAACACGUUUAUUUUAUAAUUAUAAAAUCAAACACAUUUACUUUUUAGUUAUAAAAUCUUUUUGUUAAAAAAUAUAUAUUAUUCUUGAAUAACCUUUUCAUUAAAAAAAAUAUAUUAAAAUUAUUUUAAUAAAUAUUAUAAAUCACAUAAAAGUAUAACACGGAUUAUGAACUAAAAUAUUAUAUGAGAAAGAUAUUUAUAGUCUAGGCAGACCCGUCUCGAUCAAAGAAAGAGGUCAUGUUUAAAUUUAAAUAUGGGCACUUUUAUUAAUAAGAUACAUACCACAUAAAUAUGUUUUAUUUUAAAUUAAAUUAGAACUUGAAACAAAAACCUUUAACAAUACAUGUACAUCGUCGAGCCUUAUUUAAAUUUUUUGUUAAAUAUAUUAAUUUAUUUAAUACAAAAAAUAAAUUAUUAUUACUAUAAUAUAUAAUUUGUGAUAAGAAAUAAAAAUUAUAUAUUAAUUAUUUUACUAAAAUUAAUUAACAAUUUAAUACAAGAAGCUCAAAAAAUAAUUCAAUAAAUAACACAUAAAUUUAAAAUAAAAUACUAACAUAAAAAUAUACCAAAAAUAUACCAAAAGCGCUAAAAAAAAACUUUAUUAAUUAAUAAUACUAGGUGCAUUUAUUUUAAAAAGAACAAUGGGUGUUGCUGCAUAGUACUAUGGAGGCCAUAACGGUGAAAGGAAAAGGGAAAGGUACAUGCAUCUGUGCAGAGUGUAUGUCAGACAGUAAGACUACUCUCAGGCAGGGAGUUUGCCAUGCACUCUCUGUCUCAUGUGGCUAGCAGUUACAUUCUUGUAACUUCGGUGGCUGGACCGAACAUUUUUGAACUUUGAGGGUUGACAUGCAUAUUGGUGUAAACUUGAAUGGCUGUUGUGCGUUUUAACCUAAAAUUAAAAGUGAGAAAAAUCUUGAAUUCAAACCGAAAUCGAACUCAGAAAUAAAAAAAAAAAAACCUGACAAAAAUCGAACUGCAUAAAAUCGAGCCGAGCCGAAACUAAAAAUUUUAAAACCGAACCGAAUCUAACGGAUGAUGUUCCAGUUUUAAGUGAAAACCGAGCCAAAUAAAAUCUAACCAAACCGAUUAUAUAAAUAAAUAUUAUUAAAUAUUAUUUAUUUAUAUAAUAUAAUUUUAUAAGAUAAAUAUAUAAACCAAAUUAAUGUCAUAGUGUAUUAUGGGUUAUCAAUAUGUUAAUCGUAUGUCGCGGAGUAGUGUAACAGUAGCUAGUGGGGAAGUGAGUAUAAACCUCAUAAGUUUAAACAUAUAAGUAUGAUUGUUAUAUUCUGAGUGAAUAAGCACAAACAUAUGAGUCACAAGCAUGAUAUUAUUAAGUUACUUUAUAUGAUUAGGUUUUUGUUUAUAUUUUCGUUUUGUUGGAUACAAUUAAACAUACCUAAAUAGUUCUUUAUUCGAGCAAUUGUCUAAAUUUAAAUUUAAAAUUUCUCAUUAACAUUAAUCAAGUUAACCAAUUUAUUUAUCAAACUGGAAGUAUGUUUCUUGAUUUUAUUUUUUGCGGUUUAAAACUGAAAACGAACUGACCGAACCGGAGUUUUAAAACCGAAAUCGAAAAUGACAGUUCAAUUACGGUUGCGGUUUCAACUUUUAAAACCGAGGACUUUCGGUUUCGGUUUUACCCAAACCGAACCGAACUGAGGUUUGCUCUUCCCUAGUUAAAACAACUUUAUUCAAUUUUUUGAAUAAUACUAGCUCAUCAUUGAAAAUAUCUUACAAAAUCUCUUUUCAAUGUUAUUAAUGAAUUCUCAUGAAAUUAUUAAAUAUCUAAUUUAAGAAAAAGGAGGAAAUUGAAGAUAUUAACAUGAUUAUAACUACAUGAACACAACUUCAUUAAAUAAAAAAUAGCAAUAACCUUCCACGUCACUAUCAUGACGGAUCUUUCUUGAACCAUCGAGUCGUCAAUAAUAACAUAGCAAUAGGUUACAAGAAGUGCAUGCCUUAAACUCUUAAGAUGACUUCGACUCAUCAACAAUAACAUAGCAAUAGAUUAUAAGAAGAGGAUGCCUUGGACUCUUAAGAUGACUUUUAAUUUUGGUCUGAGUUUAUGAUAAGAGUUUGGGAUAUGUAGACCCCGAGCUUAAAUGGAUGACGGACCUAUAAAUAGUAAUCCCCCAACUGGUUUAAAAAGACCACAAACGCAAACCAAGAACAGCUUAAAAAAGUCCAUAGACGGGCUUGCAGAAUACAUGAUCCAAAUAAAAGUAUAUAUAAUUCAAAUAUGAAAAACAGGUCAACUUAUCAUAAAUCUCAAAUUUUGAUGAUCACAUUUUAGCAAACUGUCUCUAUAUAUCAGCUUAAUAUUAUUGUCUAAUUGUUAUAAUAAUGUGUUGUAUUUCAGAAUCUAAUCAAGUUUUGUAGGGUAUUAAAGUAUCAGAAUAAUAGCAAGCUUCUAUUUAAAAAACAAAUGCUACGACAGAGAACAGAAUUCUACGUAGAAUUAUAUUCAUUCUACGUAGAAUUCUACGUAGAGAACACAAUCUGAGCACAUAUGGAACUCAUAAUGAGAGGCUUUGAUAUGUACUAGAAAAACUGGUUCACAAACAAUAAAGUAUACCAAGAACCCACAUUCUGAACGUAAGCACAGGCAUGUUCGGAUCAUCAGUUUGCGUAACUAGUACAUUAGCAAAGGCGUCCUUUUCUAAUAUCUCAGAUAUGCAUAUAAAAGAGUAUACAUGUAUAAUAAAGAUACUAAACAAACUCAUCAACUAAAUAUUAGUGACCACAAAAACAAAUAAUUACACAACCACGUAAAAAAAGAGGAAACCAAAGAAAUAUUUGGAAGAGUCAUUUCAAAGCUUUCUAACAAUUACAAAACUAAUCUUUAAAAUCUGUGAUGCAAAAAGCCUGGAUGAUGACCUUCCGACAGAGAUAGCUCACGUUGCCUCUCAUCAUUCAUGUUGAUGACAAUGUUAUGCAAGAUGCAGCAGGCCUUGGUCAUACAUCGAAGCGUUUCAGGUUUCAUUACAGUUGUAAGAACCUUCCAUUCUUUCUUUAGCCUAUUAAAUGUCUCAGCACUCAUUCCCUCUUCAGGGGCAGAAGCAGGCCCACGGAGGUGGCGAUGGCCAUUUUCUGCCAAGACCUCCACAAAGGACCAUGUGACCUUAGCAGCGGUAAAUGAGUGCGUCCCAAUUUCACCACCAAUUGAAUUCAGCAACUUGCCCAAUUUUAGGCUUCUCAUAGCUAUGGCUACUUUAUCAACCACAGUUAAUUCCCUGUUAUCGUUAAAUUUAAAUAUUUGUGAAUUUGACAUAGGCUCCAUCACAAGAGAGCAUAAGUAUCUGAAGGUUCUCAUUGAGAUCCCGCAGUAUACUUCGACUCUGGUUGAGUCUUCCACGAGAGGAAAAUGUCCUGCAAAGAAGAGAAGAAAAUGCAUUUUUAUACAUACGACUAAGACACUGCCAUAAUGUGUUUAUCAGGCUUAAAACUUGAACAUAUUAGAUUAAUGCAUAACACCAUACUAUUCCAUUCAUUUCAGUAUACACUAUACAUACACACAUCGACCUGUAAACUGUAUAAACAAAAUGAAGCUAGAAUGUCAAAAAUGUAAAUCAGUAAACUGCUUGUGAUUAACACACAGGGAUAUAUCGCUUUCAGUAAGGUUCCAAUCUGCAAAGAAUGCUACAGCUUUCAUAUCAAAUCAGAAUCAAUAUGAACUGAUUAUAAGUGGAUACUUUCGGUAUUCAUAGCAAGUUACAAGCUCCCAGGAAAACAUUAUAUCUACCAUAAUAUAGCUGUUUGACUAAACAAACCCUUACAAGAACUAAGUAAAUAACAACAUAUUCGAAAACAACAGAUUAGAUAUUGUUCCAAAGACUAAAACAACUGGAAGCAGUUUGACCUUAAUUACUAGUUUGACCUUGUGGAACUGGAAAUAGAAGUAUUUUGAAUAGCGACUUGCCUAAAAUCAAUCCCUUGCUACUUUGGAAAAAAAGCUAGUCCUGAAUUCUCACUGGUGACUUAUAGAUCAUAUAAUCAGAAGAUGAUUAUACUCGGUAUAGUUUGGAUUUACCUCAUAUUUUCUUCUAUGUAUGCACCAAUGUCAAAAUCUGAAAUGCUUUCUUUCCCAUAUUAUAGAGUAUAAACAAAGAAACUAAAAUAUCCACAACUACAUACAAAUCACAUCACCUUCCUCAACUCCUUGCAAAUCUCAUGACUCUAAUCCCAUCAGCAAAAUUUAUAUACACAUUACAUAACUCCCAGAAUUAAAAUUUAAAUGUUUAUAUCUUCAUUGUACUAAGCGACAAUUAAAUUCUAGGUCAAAUAAGACUCCGAACUACAGACUGAGGAUUUAUUCAUUCUCUAUCUGAAGUGAUUUUCAAUAAAUCAAAAGACAAAUCAACUGGUCACAAAUUAGAAUUCAUCAAACGCAGAUGAACAAGCAAACAAAAAAUAAAUUCGGGAAAAAAAGGUAGUACAUACCAAACCAUAACGAAAUCAACAAGAACAAUUCAUCACCACCAAAUGAGAACUUAAGAAUUUGAAGAUUUACAUACCAGCAAUCCUCUUCACGAAUUCGGCAAACCAUAUAACGUAAUUUAAAGGGAAUUUGCCACAAUUAGCUUCACUUCUUUCCAUUCUUUUGUGGUUUGAGGAAUGGAGAUUGAUUUUCCUUGCCACCGUACAAUAACUCUAAAGUUUGCGACUUUAAAGUUUGUUGGAACACAAAAGUAUAUAAAGAGUGAGAUGGAUGGGUCUGGGAUGACGUCAACGUGUUGAUGGAGGUUAAAAGAAAUAGAAUAGUAUAAGGAGUAUGUUUGUGAAUACUGGGGGUCGGCUUCAUAUAUACAAAUUUAUCCUAAGGAAAUUGUAAUUGGGCAUAAAAUAAAUUUUAUUUCAAAGUUGUAGCUCAUAUAUGAAGUAAAAUAAAGUAAUUAAAAUAUACUCACUCCAUCCCAUAAANNNNNNNNNNNNNNNNNNNNNNNNNNNNNNNNNNNNNNNNNNNNNNNNNNNNNNNNNNNNNNNNNNNNNNNNNNNNNNNNNNNNNNNNNNNNNNNNNNNNNNNNNNNNNNNNNNNNNNNNNNNNNNNNNNNNNNNNNNNNNNNNNNNNNNNNNNNNNNNNNNNNNNNNNNNNNNNNNNNNNNNNNNNNNNNNNNNNNNNNNNNNNNNNNNNNNNNNNNNNNNNNNNNNNNNNNNNNNNNNNNNNNNNNNNNNNNNNNNNNNNNNNNNNNNNNNNNNNNNNNNNNNNNNNNNNNNNNNNNNNNNNNNNNNNNNNNNNNNNNNNNNNNNNNNNNNNNNNNNNNNNNNNNNNNNNNNNNNNNNNNNNNNNNNNNNNNNNNNNNNNNNNNNNNNNNNNNNNNNNNNNNNNNNNNNNNNNNNNNNNNNNNNNNNNNNNNNNNNNNNNNNNNNNNNNNNNNNNNNNNNNNNNNNNNNNNNNNNNNNNNNNNNNNNNNNNNNNNNNNNNNNNNNNNNNNNNNNNNNNNNNNNNNNNNNNNNNNNNNNNNNNNNNNNNNNNNNNNNNNNNNNNNNNNNNNNNNNNNNNNNNNNNNNNNNNNNNNNNNNNNNNNNNNNNNNNNNNNNNNNNNNNNNNNNNNNNNNNNNNNNNNNNNNNNNNNNNNNNNNNNNNNNNNNNNNNNNNNNNNNNNNNNNNNNNNNNNNNNNNNNNNNNNNNNNNNNNNNNNNNNNNNNNNNNNNNNNNNNNNNNNNNNNNNNNNNNNNNNNNNNNNNNNNNNNNNNNNNNNNNNNNNNNNNNNNNNNNNNNNNNNNNNNNNNNNNNNNNNNNNNNNNNNNNNNNNNNNNNNNNNNNNNNNNNNNNNNNNNNNNNNNNNNNNNNNNNNNNNNNNNNNNNNNNNNNNNNNNNNNNNNNNNNNNNNNNNNNNNNNNNNNNNNNNNNNNNNNNNNNNNNNNNNNNNNNNNNNNNNNNNNNNNNNNNNNNNNNNNNNNNNNNNNNNNNNNNNNNNNNNNNNNNNNNNNNNNNNNNNNNNNNNNNNNNNNNNNNNNNNNNNNNNNNNNNNNNNNNNNNNNNNNNNNNNNNNNNNNNNNNNNNNNNNNNNNNNNNNNNNNNNNNNNNNNNNNNNNNNNNNNNNNNNNNNNNNNNNNNNNNNNNNNNNNNNNNNNNNNNNNNNNNNNNNNNNNNCACUAUACAUACACACAUCGACCUGUAAACUGUAUAAACAAAAUGAAGCUAGAAUGUCAAAAAUGUAAAUCAGUAAACUGCUUGUGAUUAACACACAGGGAUAUAUCGCUUUCAGUAAGGUUCCAAUCUGCAAAGAAUGCUACAGCUUUCAUAUCAAAUCAGAAUCAAUAUGAACUGAUUAUAAGUGGAUACUUUCGGUAUUCAUAGCAAGUUACAAGCUCCCAGGAAAACAUUAUAUCUACCAUAAUAUAGCUGUUUGACUAAACAAACCCUUACAAGAACUAAGUAAAUAACAACAUAUUCGAAAACAACAGAUUAGAUAUUGUUCCAAAGACUAAGACAACUGGAAGCAGUUUGACCUUAAUUACUAGUUUGACCUUGUGGAACUGGAAAUAGAAGUAUUUUGAAUAGCGACUUGCCUAAAAUCAAUCCCUUGCUACUUUGGAAAAAAAGCUAGUCCUGAAUUCUCACUGGUGACUUAUAGAUCAUAUAAUCAGAAGAUGAUUAUACUCGGUAUAGUUUGGAUUUACCUCAUAUUUUCUUCUAUGUAUGCACCAAUGUCAAAAUCUGAAAUGCUUUCUUUCCCAUAUUAUAGAGUAUAAACAAAGAAACUAAAAUAUCCACAACUACAUACAAAUCACAUCACCUUCCUCAACUCCUUGCAAAUCUCAUGACUCUAAUCCCAUCAGCAAAAUUUAUAUACACAUUACAUAACUCCCAGAAUUAAAAUUUAAAUGUUUAUAUCUUCAUUGUACUAAGCGACAAUUAAAUUCUAGGUCAAAUAAGACUCCGAACUACAGACUGAGGAUUUAUUCAUUCUCUAUCUGAAGUGAUUUUCAAUAAAUCAAAAGACAAAUCAACUGGUCACAAAUUAGAAUUCAUCAAACGCAGAUGAACAAGCAAACAAAAAAUAAAUUCGGGAAAAAAAGGUAGUACAUACCAAACCAUAACGAAAUCAACAAGAACAAUUCAUCACCACCAAAUGAGAACUUAAGAAUUUGAAGAUUUACAUACCAGCAAUCCUCUUCACGAAUUCGGCAAACCAUAUAACGUAAUUUAAAGGGAAUUUGCCACAAUUAGCUUCACUUCUUUCCAUUCUUUUGUGGUUUGAGGAAUGGAGAUUGAUUUUCCUUGCCACCGUACAAUAACUCUAAAGUUUGCGACUUUAAAGUUUGUUGGAACACAAAAGUAUAUAAAGAGUGAGAUGGAUGGGUCUGGGAUGACGUCAACGUGUUGAUGGAGGUUAAAAGAAAUAGAAUAGUAUAAGGAGUAUGUUUGUGAAUACUGGGGGUCGGCUUCAUAUAUACAAAUUUAUCCUAAGGAAAUUGUAAUUGGGCAUAAAAUAAAUUUUAUUUCAAAGUUGUAGCUCAUAUAUGAAGUAAAAUAAAGUAAUUAAAAUAUACUCACUCCAUCCCAUAAAACAUGAGGUAAUCAAUUUUACGCACAUUUAAGAAAUUUGAGUAUGACUAUUUGAUAUGCAUUUGCAUUCACAAAAAAAUGAGUUAGUGGAUGAUGACUAAGCAUUUACCUGAACAUGUACUUAUAACUGCUUAGUCAUCAUCCACUAACUCAUCUUUUUGUGAAUGCAAAUACAUAUCAAAUAGUGAUACUCAAAGUUCUUAAAUGUGUGUAAAAUUGAUUAGCCCAUGCUUUAUAUAUGAGCUACAACUUUAAAAUAACAUUUAUUUUAUACUCAAUUACAAUUUCCUAAGGAUAAAUUUGUAUAUAUGAAGCCCACCCCCAGUAUUCACAAACAUACUCCUACUUUUACUAUUCUAUUUUCUUUAACCUCCGUCAACACGUUGAUGUUACCCCAAAUCCAUCCAUCUCACUCUUUAUAUACUUUUGUGUUCCAACAAACUUUAAAGUCGCAAACUUUAGAGUUAUUAUACGGUGGUAAGGAAAAUUAAUCUCUAUUCUUCAAACCACUUUCUUUUUAUAUCCUUUUGAUUUUAAGUUUUUAAUAACUUUACUUUAAGAGAGUGGAAAGAAGUGAAACCGAUUGUGGCAAAUUCCCUCUGAAUUAUGUUAUUUGGUUUGCCGAAUUCGUGAAGAGGAUUGUUGGUAUGUAAAUCUUCCAAUUUUCAUGUAUACUAAGUUGUUCUCAUUAAGUGGUGAUAAAUUGUUCUUGUCGAUUUCGUUAUGGUUUAGUAUGUAUUACCUUUUCUUUUUCGAAGUCAUUUUAUCUUCGCUUGUUCAUCUGUGUUUAAUGAAAUUUUAAUUUGUGACUAGUUGAUUUGUCUUUUGAUUUAUCGAAAAUUACUUUAAAUAGAAAAUGAAUAAAUCCUCAAUCUGUGGUUCGGAGUCUUAUUUGGCCUAAAAUUUAAUUGUCGUUUAGUACAAUGAAGAUAUGAACAUUUAAAUUUUAAUUAUGGGAGUCAUGUAAUGUAUUUAAAUUGUGCUGAUGGGAUUAGAGUCCUAAGAUUUGCAAGGAUUUAAGAAAGUUGAUGUGAUUCCUAUGUAGUUCUUGUGAAUAUCUUAGUUUCUUUGAUUAUACUCUUUAAUAUUGGGGAAAAAAGCAGUUCAAAUAUUGGCAUUGAGGCAUAAAUAGAAAAAAAAUGAGUUUAAUCCAAACUAUAGUGAGUAUAAUCAUCUUCUGAUUAUAUGAUUUGUAAAUCACCAGUUAUGAUUACUACUCGGUAUAUUUUGGAUUUACCUCAUAUUUUCUUCUAUGCAUGCCCACGAACUACUUAAAUCAUUCCCCGUCUACACUCAUCUUUAGUAAAUCAAAAUACAAACCAACUAGUUCCGAAUUAUAAUUUCAUCAAACACAGAUGAACAAGCAAACAUAAAAUUACUUUGCAAAAACAACAGGUAGCACAUACCAAACCAUAACGAAAUCGACAAGAACAGUUCAGCACCACCAAAUCAGAACUUAAUAUACAUGAGAAUUUGAAGAUUUACAUACCAGCAAUCCUCUUCACGUAUUGGGCAUACCAAAUAAUGUAAUUCACAUCAGGGAAUUCUCCAAUAUUUGCUUCACUGCUUUCUCUCUUAAAGCAAAGUUCUUAAAAACUUCAAAUUAGAAAGAGAUAAAAAGAAAGUGGUUCGAGGAAUGAAGAUUGUUUUUCCUUACCACUGGACAAUAACUCUAAAGUUUGCGACUUUAAAGUUUGUUGGAACAAAAGUAUAUAAAAUGUAUAUGUGUUCUAAAGCAAGAACUUAGAGAAUUUCAGACAAUGAUACAAAAGUUCUGCUUUUCUUGCUGAGGCUUCAACUUUGUUUACAUAAUAAUUACAUAAGUGAAUAUAUAAAUUUCUCCAUCCAUCACCUAGUACUCCAUGAGUUUCUGUAAAUGCUUUGCCGAUUCACAUCUGGGGUUUAGAAUUACGAGUCCAGAGUAUCUCCCGUACAUUUCAAUCAACGCCGUAUGAACAAACAAAUCAGACCCAAAUCCUCUAAUCAUCAGUAUCUAUAGUAUCUGGUUGGGGACUUGUGUCAAACAGGUGGCGGGCAUACGAGAUCUCAUCAGUGACCCGUGAGAUCUCAUCAGGUAGCUGGGUUAGGGUAACAUCUAAAGUGGUUUAGAGGAUAAGCAGAGAUUUGGAGAAGAUGAUUGCGGUUAGAUGAGUGUUCUCAGGGUUGAAUGUAUCGGCGUUCUUCACGAAGAUCCCGUUUAAUAUUUGAAACAUAUUUUCGUUAUUUGGGGUUAACAUUCUGAUUUUUUAUUUUUUUUUAAAUCAAUGAUCUAUUGAAAAAAUUCUCAUAAACUGAGGUGUAUUCUAUCGUAUUUUAAUGGACUGAUUUUAAAGGAUUGUAUGUAAUUUUGAUUUACGCGAAUUUUUGAAAAAAUGCUGAUAUAUUUUUUUUAAGAUUUAAGUAUAAUAUUUCAAAUUUUAAUGGAUUUUGGUGGUAUUUCAAAAUAAUUAAAAUUCACUCAAAAAUCUCACAAAAUAUAUAAUUUUAUGAAAUUCAUAAAAAUCCAAUAGCAUUUGUAUAUCAUUUGAAUUUUAAACAAUCCAAAUUAAAUGAAAAAAGGCCAUAACUGAAUUUUUGAGUUUAAUGCCAUGUAUAACAAAAUUUGAAAAAGUGGCCCCAAUUGACAUGUGAAGACAUUUUUAAAGGGAUAUGGCGAAAUUCACCUGCUGAUUCUUACAGACAUUAAAACAAUGAAAUUCACUUGCUGAUUCUUACAGACAUUAAAACAAUGAAAUUGUACUAUUAGUAAAGCACAUCAACUCAAGUUCAUUCUUACUUAAAACAGAAAAUGUUAUGGUAAUCUUCACUCCCAUCACUCCCAUCAUACUUUUUGAAAGGGCAAGGAGUCUGAGAUAACUUGAUGAGCACAGAGAGAGAUAGCUUUUUUCCCCCUUCUACUGAACUGAAGUUUUGGUUAUCAAUACACACACCUUUCUUAUGUAUACAAAAACUUGUUUUCCCAUAAUUUGUAAAACAAAAACGGGGUUAGGGUUUAUAAGUAGAAAUUGGGGUUUUUAAUUUGUAAAUUAAUUGUGGUUGAUUGGCUGUGUGUGAAAGGAAAGGGCAUGAAAAUGUGGGGAGGAGGCCGGAGUCUCGCGUCGGCGACGGAGACUCACGGCGGCAGAAGGGGAGACAGAUAGGCGGCCGUGGUGAGCUUGGUGCGGGGAGGAGAUUGAGGAGGUGAGGUGUGUGUACAGGAUAGAGAGAGCAACGAGGGAGGUCGCCGGAAAUUUCUCCGGCCAGGCCAGUGAGGGAGAUGAGGGAGAGAGGAGAGAUGGAGGAAGGAGUUUUUUUAUAUCAUCCUUUUAACUUUAGUUCCAUUUUAAUUUCAUUUUUCUUUUUUUAAUGUAGGUACAAAUCAGCUGGUGAUGUGUCGCCAUGUCAGCAUGAUUCAGCGGGUGAUGUGUCACCACAUCAACAAGAUUCUAACUCUGUUAGUAUCUACUUAACGGAAGGACUAGAUUCCAGCGUUUGGAAAAGUUUAAUGACCCUGUUUGAGGAAUCUUUUGCUUAGGGACCUAUCGAAUAAAAGUGGAUUAGUUUAGGGACGUAUGAAUAUAUUAUCCCCAUUUUUAAAAUAGCGUUUUAAGUAAAGGGUAAACGCUAUUGCGUGUGUUUACGGCUUUUUUCUUUUCUUCUUUUAUUAAACAAAAAAUAAAUAAUACAAUAUAAAGGAUAAAAACACUAGACGAGUUGGCGUUUUACCGUUAUAUAUAUAAGCAUAAGACGCCUCACGAACUAAAGUAGCGUCUAUAAGUUUUAUAUAUGGGUUUUGUUCCAUAGCCCCCGUAUGCCAUAUAAGCCUUAACCAACACACAGAAUCAGAAUCGUUAGAUUCAAUUUUUUUUUUUUGCCAUCCGUUAUAAUUUUUCGCGGAUCGGACUUCUCCAUUCCGCUGAUAUAAAGAGAAUUCAAUUGUUAUAAUGGAUUAUAAUGUAAGUUUUACAUUCUUUUGAAGAAUUGCAAUUUGAUUUAUAUAUAUUUGUCUUUAUAUGGAUUUUCAAUGUAUGUGUUCUAUGUGUUUGUUAAAGUGUCUAUAAGGAUUUACAUAUGAAGCAGUGGUUAGAAAUUGCUAGUAUUAUUUCUAAUUGAGUUGUAGUCACAUAUUACCAGUUAAGUUCCAGUUAUGUAAUGCAUAUUUGGAGCUUAAUUUUAGAAUUUGAAGCUUAUCUAUUACUCCCUCCAUCCCAUUUUAUGUGACCUCAUUUCCUUUUUGAGACGUCCAAUGAAUCUACAAUACUUACUAUUUUUGAACACUAUUUUUCACUAUUACACCCACUACCUCUAUAUUUUAUACUCUCUUUUUAUUAAAUAAACACUAUUACACCCACUACUUUCCUCCACUAUCUCAAAUCUAUUAUUAAAUAUUGAUGGGUCCCAUCACUUUACUCACUUUUCAACUACAUUUACUACCUUUUUCUUAAUCUCCGUGAAAGUCAAACCAGUUCACAUAAAUUGGGACGGAGCGAGUACUUCACUAUGAGAAAUCUGCUUAGGUUAUCCAUGUGUAUGCAGAAUACGUAAGUUUAGGAGCAAUAUAAUUGGAAAUGGCACUAGUUUAGGAGCAUCUUCUAUCUGAUCAACCCUACAGAGCCCACAUAUCAGAGAAUUGAAAGUGAACAUAUCUGGUUUACAUCCUCCGUUUACCAUGUCAGCGUAUAGUUCCAGAGCCUCCUUAACCUUCUCAUCCUUAGCUAAAGCAUGUAUCAGGCAGUUGUAUCCAACAGUGUUUAAGCAAAUCCCCAAUGCUGACAUUUCACGGACAGCUUCUUCUGCUUCCUUCAAUCUGCCGACCUUGCAGAACCCAUUGAUCAAACUCGUGUAUGUUAUUAGGUUGGGCUUGCAACCCAUAAUUUCCAUCUCUUUCAUCAAAUUUCGUGCUAAUUAAGAAAAAGAUUUUCUCGAACAUAGACCACGGAUGAUUAUGUUAUAUGUAUAGAUAUCUGGAUUGCAACCAACAGCGGGCAUCCUCUGCCUCAAAACAGCAUUGGCAUCAUCAAACUGUCCAUUGACCACAUGACCAUUAAUCAAAGUAUUGAACAAAACAACAUUAGGCUCAGGCACUCUGUCCAGCAAAGCUCUAGCUUUAUCAACUUGACCAGUUCGGCAUAAUCCAUCCAUUAAAAUUCCAUAAGUAAACUUGCUAGGAGUGAAGCCUCCGAGAAGCAUUCUAUCGACCAAUUUAGCACCUUCAGGUAUCCUCUUAGCACGGCAAAGACCAUGAAUAACAUCAUUAAAAGUAUCAACAUCAGGUGUGCAACCCAUCAGAAACAUUUCCUCCAAAUAUCUUAUCACGUCAUUUAUUCUGUUCACCUUACAAAGCGCAUGUAUAAGUGUCUGGUAAAUAACUGAAUUCGGCACACACCCAUGUUUUGUCAUAUCUCUUAAAAGUGAACAUGCAGAAUCCACCUCAUUAACCAUACAAAGCGCUUUCAUCAUCACCACACCGAACGUGAAAACAGUUGGAGAAAUCCCCUUGUGCAACAUCUCAUAAAAAAUAUUCGGUGCAACAGCCGAGCAAUCCCCAGCAACCAAAAUAUCCAGAACAACAUUAUAAGACCUAAAACUAUAUUCACAACUAAAAACAUCCCUCAUAUCAAAAAGUAACCGCGUCGAUUGACCAGGUAAACCAGCUCUACCAUAAUGCCUCAUUUUAGAAAUAAAAAGUGACUCCUGAAUAAAUACCCCUUCAUCUUUCAUUCGCAGCAACAAUCCAUCAAUCAACUUAAACUCCCCGGCCGCUCCAGGUUUAUUAAUCAAAGUACAAUACACAUUGAAUGUAUGAGUAUACCCCAUUUGAGUACCCGCCUUACAGAAAAAAUCCACAGAAGUAGGGACAUCAAGGGGGAGUUGAAGCAACUUAUUAAGCUGAUACGGUGUAAGUCGAUUAAGGGACUUUCGAAGCUGUUUAAUGUCACAUGGUUCAAGCAAACUUUCCCAAUCUGUUUCAGGGAAUGACCCAUUCUUAUAAUCAGAAUUACCAACAUUUCCAUCAUCCCCAAUUGAACUACAAUAUGUAAAGAUUGGAUUUUUAUACAAAGAUUGAACCUUUUUGACAAAAUGACACCCAAGAUUCUUUUUUGAGCAUAACUCUUAUUGGGCAAUUGUAAACAAGCAAAAGCUAAGCACACAACUGAUUGGCAUUACACAUACAUAAACUUUUCAGGGUUAUAAGCAACUGUGUGUAUACAUGUAUGUAUAUGUGCAUAUAGAGUUGCAAAAUAUAUGAGAAACAGAGCAGAAUAAAGAGCUCUAACCUGGGAACAAGUGUGUGUAUUUGCUGCAAAAAGCUUCUGCACUAAUUAUUCAGUGAGCAGCGGAUCGGGUCUAAAGUCAAAUUUUCAAAUCAAUUGGGUGUUUGUAUGUGCAUAUAAUUCAGCACACAAUAAAGCUGAUCAUGGCUUAUGGACCAGAAAGCUGCUUCUUUAGCUUUUUCAAAGUAAUUUUCUUUCAACAUUGCUACACACUAUGGUUUCAGCCGCAUUGCUUGUUAAUCAAUCUCGUCGAAUUGAUCUAUAUCAUCUACCCAUAAAGUUUCAUCAUCUAAUUGAAGCGCCCAAAAGUUUCCUCAUUUCUUUCUAUCAAUAUUCCCAUGUUAUAACUAGUACAUUAGCAAAGGUGUUCUUUUCUAAUAUCACGGAUAUUCAUAUGAAAGAGUACACAUGUAAAACAAAAAUACUAAACAAACUCAUGAACUAAAUAUUAAUGACCACAAAUAAUAAUCACACAAAAUACAAAUAAAAAAGCGGAAACCAAAGAAAUAUUCAGAAGAGAUGAUUCAAAACUUUCUAACAAUUACAAAACUAAUCUUUAAAAUUUGUGAGUCAUAAAGCCUGGAUGAUGACCUUGUGACAGAGAUAGCUAACCAUGCCUCUCAUCAUUCAUCUCAAUGACAAUGUUAUGCAAGAUGCGGCAAGCUGUGCUAAUACUUUGACGCUUCUCAGCUUUCAUUACAAGUGUAAGAACCUUCCAUUCUUCCUUUAGCCGCCUAUCCAUUGUCUCAGCAGUCAUUCUUUCCUCAGUAGCAGUGGCUGUCCCAUGGAGGUGGCGAAGGCCAUUUUCUACCAAGGCCUCCACAAAGGACCUUGUAACCUUAUCAGCAGUAAAAGAGUGCGUACCAAUUUCCUUACUGAUUGAGUUCAGUGACUUGCCAAAUUUUAGCCUUCUCAACGCUAUGGCUACUUUAUCAACCACAGUCAAUUCUCUGUUAUCGUUAAAUUUGUAUGUGUGUGAAUUGGACAUUGGCUCCAUCACAAGAGAGCACAAGUAUCUGAAGGUUCUCAUUGAGAUCCCGCAGUAUUCUUCGACUCUAGUCGAGUCUUCCGAGAGAGGAAAAUGUCCUGCAAAGAAGAGAAGAAAAUGCAUUUUUAUAAAUACGACUAAGACACUGCCAUAAUGUGUUUAUCAUGCUGAAAACUUGAACAUAUUAGAUUAAUGCAUAACACCAUACUAGUCCAUUCAUUUCAGUAUACAUACACAUAUCGACCUGUAAACUGUAUAAACAAAAUGAAGCUAGAAUGUCAAAAAUGAAGAUCAGUAAACUGCUGGUGAUUAACACACAGGGAUAUAUCACAUUCAGUAAGGUUCCAAUCUGCAAAGAAUGCUACAGCUUUCAUAUCAAAUCUGAAUCAAUAUGAACUGAUUAUAGGUGGAUACUUUUAGUAUUCAUAGCUAGUUACAAGCUCCUAGGAAAACAAACCCUUACAAGAACUAAGUACAUAACAACAUAUUCGAAAACAACAGAUUACAUAUUGUUCCAAAGACUAAGACAACUGGAAGCAGUUUGACCUUAAUUACUAGUUUGACCUUGUGGAACUGGAAAUAGAAAUAUUUUGAAUGUACUUACCUAAAAUCAAUCCCUUGCUACUUUGGAAAAAAAAGCUAGUCCUGAAUUCACUGGUGAUUUAUAAUUCACAUAACCAGAAGAUGAUUAUACUCAGUAUAAUUUCGAUUUACCUCAUAUUUUCUUCUAUGUAUGCCCCAAUGCCAAAAUCUGAAUUGCUUUCUUUCCCAUAUUACAGAGUAUAAACAAAGAAACUGAAAUAUCCACAAGAACUACAUACGAAUCACAUCAACUUCCUCAACUCCUUGCAAAUCUAAGGACUCUAAUCCCAUCAAAAAAAUUUAUAUGCACAUUACAUAACUCCCAGAAUUAAAAGUUAAAUGUUUAUCAUCUUCAUUGUACUAAGCGACAAUUAAAUUCUAGGUCAAAUAAGACUCCGAACCACAGAUUGAGGAUUUAUUCCUUCUCUAUCUAAAGUAAUUUUCAAUAAAUCAAAAGAAAAAUCAACUAGUCACAAAUUAAAAUUUCAUCAAACACAGAUGAACAAGCAAACAUAAAAUUACUUCAGAAAAAAAAAGGGUAGCACAUACCAAACUAUAAUGAAAUCGACAAGAACAGUUCAUCACCACUGAAUGAGAACAACUUAAAAUCCAUGAAAUUUUAAAGAUUUACAUACCAGCAAUCCUCUUCACGAAUUCGGCAAACCAAAUAACGUAAUUCAAAGGAAAUUUGCCACAAUUAGCUUCAUUUCUUUCCAUUCUCUUGAAGCAAAGUUCUUAAAAACUUAAAAUUAAAGGAGAUAUAAAGAAAGUGGUUUGAGAUGGAGAUUGAUUUUCCUUACCACCGUACAAUAACUCUAAAGUUUGUUGGAACACAAAAGUUUAUAAAGAGUGAGAUGGAUGGGUCUUGGGUGAAGUCAGCGUGUUGAUGGAGGUUAAAAGAAAUAGAAUAGUAAGAGUAGGAGUAUGUUUGUGAAUACUGGAGGUGGGCUUCAUAUAUACAAAUUUAUCCUUAGAAAAUUGUAAUUGGGCAUAAUAUAAAUUUUAUUUCAAAGCUGUAGCUCAUAUAUAAAGUAAAAUAAAGUAACUAAAAUAUACUCACUCCAUCCCAUAAAGCAUGAGCUAAUCAAUUUUACGCGCAUUUAAGAAAUUUGAGUAUGAUUAUUUGAUAUGUAUUUGCAUUCACAAAAAGAUGAGUUAGUGGAUGAUGACUAAGCAUUUACUUGAACAUGUGGUUACAGCUAUCUUAAAACAUACUAUAUAAAGUGGUGUCACGGAAAAAAUUUUCAACAUCCCACGUCACUAAGUUAUAUCAAUGCCUUUAUCAGCACAAACUUACAACUAAUAUUGUAUCGGAAUUGAUAACUCUUUUGUAUCAACUUAUAGUUGGUUGUUGAUUGACGUAGUAUGUUUGGCUUGGACUGUAACAAAUUUUGUCUGAGGUCGACCCUGCCAAAAGUGCCUUAAAAGGAUUUCUUCAGUUUUUGGGCUCGACGAGGACGUUAAACUUAUAUAAUGUGGAAAAACUGUAACAUUUCAUAGUAUGUAAGUGUGGACGCAUUUAUAAAUGUUGUAGAAAAGUCGUUAGCUCUUUUGGUUUGGUCUAUGGUGAGUUGUUGAACCAUCUCCUUCACUUUGGCUUGGGGUGUUACACAUUGAAUGCAGUAUAGAAUUUUGUUAUAAUUAUAAGUAUGUAUUUCUUUAUAUAUAUUCAAGUUGAUUGAAAAAUUAUUUAAAUUAAAUGGUACGAUGUAUAAAUCUUCAUAAGCUAUAACUUUAAUAUAAUAGACCUACUUGACUACGUCGAGACAUAUAAAAUUAUGACAAAAAUCCAAUUUAUUAUAAGAUAUGAUUAUAAUAAUAACCUCAAAUACAUAGAUCUGCCAAUUUGGUAUACAACAGAAAACAAAUGACACGAAAAAUAUGGAUAUCGAUUCACCAUUUUGUUAUACGAAUACGAAAGUAUACGAUCGUAAAACGUGUUCAGGUCAGAACUCUCAGGUGCAUUGCCUAAAGCAUAUAAUGCACCUGAGAGUUUUGACCCGAACACGUCAAAAUAUAAAGGGAUAUUUCUAAUGGUCCAUUUUAUGAUCGGGUACUUUCGUAUUCGUAUAUCGAAAUGGUAAUCGUUUUCCUUAUUUUUCGUGUCAAUUUUUCUUUUGUGUCGCAUACCAAAUUAAUGGCUUUAUCUAUUUUAGGUUUUUAUUAAAUUAUGUCUUCUAAUAAAUUAGAUUUUUUCUCAUAAAUUUAUAUGUAUAUUGUAUAGUCAGAUAGGUCUAUUAUAUUAAUGUAGUAGCUUACGAAGGUCAAUACAUUUAAUUAGUUUAAAUUUUAAUUAUGGGAGUCAUGUAAUGUAUUUAAAUUGUGCUGAUGUGAUUAGAGUCCUAAGAUUUGCAAAGAGUUGAGGAAGUUGAUGUGAUUCCUAUGUAGUUCCUAUGUAGUUGUUGAAAACUACUCGGUAUAUUUUGGAUUUACCUCACAUUUUCUUCUAUGUAUGCCCAAUAACUAGUUUAUUUCCCGUAUUACGGAGCACAAACAAAGAAACUAAAAUAUCCACAAAUGCCACAUAGGAAUCGCAUCAAGUUCCUCAACUCUUUGCAAAUCUCAUAACUGUAAUCCCAAUAGCACUGUUUAAAUAGAUUACAUGACUCCCGGAUUUAAAAGUUGAAUGUUUAUAUCUUCAUUUGUACGAAGCGAAAAUUAAAUUAUGGGUCAAAUAAGAUUCUGACACUAUAGAUUGGGGAUUUAAUCAUUCCCUAUCUACACUCAUUUUUAGUAAAUCAAAAUACAAACCAACCAGUCCCGAAUUAUAAUUUCAUCAAACACAGAUGAACAAGCAUACAUAAAAUUACUUUGCAAAAACAACAGGUAGCACAUACCAAAACAUAACGAAAUCGACAGGAACAGUUGAGCACCACCAAAUCAGAACUUUAUAUACAUGAGAAUUUAAAGAUUAACAUACCAGAAAUCCUCUUCACGAAUUCAGCAAACCAAAUAACGUAAUUCACAUCAGGGAAUUCUCCAAUAUUUGCUUCACUGCUUUCCAUUCUCUUAAAUCAAAGUUCUUAAAAACUUCAAAUUAGAAAGAGAUAAAAAAAAGUGGUUCGAGGAAUGAUGAUUGUUUUUCCUUACCACCGGAGAAUAACUCUAAAGUUUGCGACUUUAAAGUUUGUUGGAACACAAAGGUAUAUAAAAAGUAUAUGUGUUCUAAAGCAAGAACUUGGAGAAUUUCAGACAAUGAUACCAAAGUUCUGCUUUUCUUGCUGAGGCUUCAACUUUGUUUACAUAGUAAUUACACAAGUGAAUAUAUAAAUUUCUCCAUCCAUUACCUAGUACCUACUCUCCCUGAGUUUCUGUAAAUGCUUUGCCGAUUCACAUCUGGGGUUUACAAUUACAAGUCCAGAGUAUCUCCCAUUUUCAAUCAACGCCGUCUGAACAAACAAAUCAGACCCAAAACCUCUAAUCAUCAGUAUCUAAAGUAUCUGGUUGGGGACUUCUGUCAAACAGGUGGCGCGCAUACGAGACCUCAUCGGUGACCCGUGAAAACAUCUUACGUAAUAGCUAGGUUAGGGCAACAACGUUGAUAUCUAAAGCGGUUUUGAAGAUAAGCAGGGAUUUGGAGAAGAUGAUUGAGGUUAGACGAGUGUUCUCACGGUUGAAUCCCUGUAUCGGCGUUCUUCACGAAGAUCCUGUUUAAUAUUUGAAACAGAUUUUCCUUAUUUGGGGAUAACAUUCUGAUUAUUUUUUUUAAAUCAAUGAUCUAUUGAAAAAAAAUCCUCAUAAAUUGAGGUGUAUUUUAUUCGAAUUUUAAUAGACUGAUUUUCAUCUAUACAUUUUAAUGUAUUGUAUGUAAUUUUGUUUUACGCAAAUUUUGAAAAAAUGUCGUAGAAUUGGUACAAAUUCUUUAAUAUUUAAGUACAAUACUUCAAAAUCUCAUGAAUUUUGAUGGAAUUUCAAAAAAUUUAAAAUUCAAUGAAAAAUCUCAUAAAAUCCAUCAUUUUAUGAAAUCCAUAAAAAUCCAAUACCAUUUAUAUAUCAUAUGAAUUUUAAACAAUUCAGAUUAAAUAUCAUUGGAUUUUUUAGUAUAAUUUAAAAUUCUAAUUGAAUAUUAUCAGAUUUUAUAGCAUAAUUUAAAAUCACAAUCGAAUAUUCAAAAUUUUUUAAUGAAUUUUAAACAAUCGCAAUUGAAUAUACGCAGAUUUCAUGAAUGAAAAAAAAAUAUAUUUUUUAAAAUUCCAAUCGAAUACACCCCCUAAGUAAUCUCGAAUUUAUAAAUCAAUGGAUAAGUUGUGAUUCAUGAUUUUUAUAAUCAUGGCUCCAAUAUUUUNUUAUAAUCAUGGCUCUAAUAUUUUUAUGCACACUUUUUUAUAUUCUUUCUCUUAAUCGAGUAAUAACAAAAAUCUAAAAGAUUAUAUGGCUUGUUUUAUAAUUGCCCAACCUCUUAAAUUUUUUUAUAAAAAUAUUGUUGCAAACUUUCAAUAUUUUAAAAAUUCAUUUAUUUAUUUUUUUGAUACAAAAAAUAUCAUUUAUUAUAAAUUAUUUAUAAAAAUACGACUUGCAAAUUCUGCAAUCUCGUUUUGCAACACCAUUUGCAAAAUUUGCAAAUGAGAAAUUUCAUUUGCAACUUAUGCAACUUCAUUUGCAACAGUUGCAAACUGAUGUUGCAAAAGCGGGUUGCAAGUGGUACUUUUAAAAAUAACUAGUUGAGAAACCGCGCGUUGCGGCGGCUUAUAAAAAAUAUAUUAAUGAUUCAAUGUUAAUAUGUGUAAAAUGCUAAUACUAAUAUAUAAAAUUGUAAAAUUGGACUAUAAUUCAUGGUAAAAAAAUGAAAAUAAAUUUCUACACGUAAUUAACAAUUUAAAGCACGACGAAUCUUAAUUUAUUUGUGUUUUUUUUAAAAAGUAAUCAUGUUCUUACAUUGUCACCUUCCUCCAAUUUUUUUCCGAUUGAUUGUGCACAAAAACAUGUAACUUAAAUCCGUGAGAUAACAGUCUAUAACUACCCUUACUUGUAACAAUAAUACUGUAUGAACAGUCUUCACUUAAAAGUUGCUUGAACGGAGAAAACAGAUAAUGAUGAAUAAUAUUUUUCCGUGUACAAUGUAAAUCAUAUAAAAAAUUAACAACAACAAACAUGUCCGAUGAACAAAAGAAAAUAUUAUAAAAGAAUAACCAACAAACAUACAUCACUAAUAGUUAAUUUAUUGAUAUCAUCCAUCAAUAUCAUGUCAAGACUAUAUUUUUCUCCCGUGUUUAGAUUUGUCGAAUCCUACAUAACGGUCUAUAACUACUUUUGCUUGAAUCAACCUUUAUUUUUUUAAUACCGUAUAAACAGCCUUCACUUAUCAUUGUAGAAAAACGACACCACCGAGUUAGAAAUCGAGCAAGAAAAUUAUCACCAGAGAGAGGUAGGGUUGUGGUAUUGAGAGAGAGUAUGUUGUGUUUAGAUGAUCCAAAACCCUACAACCUAUAGGGGUAUUUAUAAGUGCAGAAAGACUUGUGUGUGUUACUCUUUUCCAUAAUUAAAUAAUCCGAAACAAAAUCAGAUUAAAACUUUCAAGCUGCUAUAUUCCAUAAAUAAUCUGAAACAAAAUCAAAUUCUGAAACUUGCGAAAAUUCCAGAAAAUUAGAAAAAUAGAACAGAGCGAUGUGAGAGGCGCCACCUACACGCCCCUCGCUUCUCCUUUAUAUAGAAAUGAUUUGAAAAAAAAUUGUAUAUUAAAAAAAUUUCGUAAAUAAUUUAUAAGGAGUUGGUAUAUUUAUAAAUAUCCCAAAACUGAUAUUAAUCUUUAUUUAAUUUUAAUUAUUCUUCCUCACAUUCACUACGAGAAGAAUGGGGAAGACUUCUUUAUCGUGUUGAUGGUGAUUAAAGAUACGAGCAUUUACUUUCAAAAAAAAAAAAAGAUACGAGCAUUAAUAAAUAAUUAAAAUAUUUAUGAUUGAAAUUUAAAUAAAUUUCUUCAUAUUAAAUUUAGAAACUUGUUUUUUGUCAUACAAAUUUAGGAAUUUAUUUUAAGAUAAAUGUAGGAGUAUAAUACAAAAUUAAUUUUUUUAAUAAAUAAAAUUUAGUUUUGGAAGGUGUUUAUAGAAAAAAGUAUUUAUUUUAAAAAAUAUGAGGACUUUUUUUAUUUAAUAUUUUUUAGCUAUUUGCAUCUUAUAAUCACUGGAACCAAAGAUGACAACAAAUGAGGAGACUUACUCCUUCCGUCCAAUUCAUUUCUACAACGUCUAUAGGAUGUCUCAUUAUUUAUAUACAUUCUCAAAAUAAUAUCAUUUAAUAAUAUAUCUAUACAAUCUAUUUAUAGGAUGUCUCAUUAUUUCUAUACAUUCUUAAAAUAAUAAUUUUUAAUGAUAUAAAACAUUAUUACGAAAAUAUAUAAAUAUAUACAUUCUCAAAAUAAUAACUUUUAAUAAUAUAAAACAUUAUUACGAAAGAAUAUAAAUAAAGACAAACCUUCUUUCUACGAAAGAAUAUAAAAAUCUAGUUGAUCUUCGUAACAAAUCAUCUGAACAAGAGCAUGUAAAAUAAAGAUACUAAACAAACUCAUGAACAAAAGAUCACUGACCACAAAAAUAAAGAUACUAAACAAACUCAUGAACAAAAAAUCACUGACCACAAAAAUAAAGAAUCACACAACAUACGAAUAAAAAGGUUGAAACCACAUAAAUAUUUGGCAGAGAUGGUGCAAAUCUUUCUAACAAAUACAAAAUUAAUCUUUAAAAUUUGUGAGUCAUAAAGUCCGGAUGAUGACCUUGCGACUGAGAUAGCUCACGAUGCCUCUAAUCAUUCAUAUCAGUGACAAUGUUAUGCAAGAUGCAGCAGGCCUUGAUCAUACUCCGAAGCUUCUCAGGUUUCAUUCCGGUUGUAAGAACCUUCCAUUCUUCCUUUAGCCUAUCCAAUUUCUCAACACUCAUUCCCUCUUCAACGGCACUAUCCAAUGUCUCAGCACUCGUUCCCCCUUUAGUGGCAGCGCCAGGCCCAUGGAGGUGGCUAAGGCCAUUUACUGCCUCCACAAAGGACCGUGUGACCUUAUCCACGGUAAAUGAGUGCAUCCCAAUUUCGUUACCGAUUGAGUUCAGCGACUUCCCCAAUUUAAGCCUUCUCAUAGCUAUGGCCACUUUAGCAUCCACGGUUAAUUCCCUGUUAUCGUUAAAUUUGUAUUUCGGUGAAUUGCNN
Molecule: long non-coding RNA, 34952 nt
Filed under: Daucus carota (carrot)
Lineage: Eukaryota; Viridiplantae; Streptophyta; Magnoliopsida; Apiales; Apiaceae
Description: long non-coding RNA (DCAR_LNC000480)
Source: RNAcentral